RNAcentral lists this ribosomal RNA (468 nucleotides) under uncultured bacterium. RNAcentral's name for it is "bacterial SSU rRNA". It matches the Rfam family "Bacterial small subunit ribosomal RNA", at positions 328 to 792 of the family's 1533-position model. The record is from RNAcentral.
GGACCAGACUCCUACGGGAGGCAGCAGUGAGGAAUAUUGGUCAAUGGGCGAGAGCCUGAACCAGCCAAGUCGCGUGAAGGAUGACGGCCCUACGGGUUGUAAACUUCUUUUGUCAGGGAGCAAUUGAGUCCACGUGUGGGCUUAGCGAGAAUACCCGAAGAAAAAGCAUCGGCUAACUCCGUGCCAGCAGCCGCGGUAAUACGUAGGUGGCAAGCGUUAUCCGGAUUUAUUGGGUGUAAAGGGCGUGUAGGCGGGAGCGCAAGUCAGAUGUGAAAACUCAGGGCUCAACCCUGAGCCUGCAUUUGAAACUGUGUUUCUUGAGUGCUGGAGAGGCAAUCGGAAUUCCGUGUGUAGCGGUGAAAUGCGUAGAUAUACGGAGGAACACCAGUGGCGAAGGCGGAUUGCUGGACAGUAACUGACGCUGAGGCGCGAAAGCGUGGGGAGCAAACAGGAUUAGAUACCCCAGUA